GAUGAAGAACGCAGCGAAAUGCGAUAAGUAAUGUGAAUUGCAGAAUUCAGUGAAUCAUCGAAUCUUUGAACGCACCUUGCGCCCUUUGGCUAUUCCGAAGGGCAUGCCUGUUUGAGUAUCAUGAACACCUCAACUCUCAUGGCUUGCCAUGACGAGCUUGGACUUUGGGGGUCUUGCUGGCCUGUGGGUCGGCUCCUCUCAAAUGAAUCAGCUUGCCGGUUUUUGGUGGGCAUCACAGGUGUGAUAACUAUCUACGCUUGUGGUUUUCCACCAGGGUAACCUUCAGCAGUGGAGGUUCACUGGAGCUUACAAAUGUCUCUCCUCUGUGAGGACAGCCCUUUGAAUGUUUGAUCUCAAAUCAGGUAGGACUACCCGCUGAACUUAAGCAUAUCAAUAAGCGGAGGA
RNAcentral lists this unclassified non-coding RNA (405 nucleotides) under soil metagenome. Its description in RNAcentral is "partial contains 5.8S ribosomal RNA, internal transcribed spacer 2, and large subunit ribosomal RNA". The stretch from base 1 to 121 matches the Rfam family "5.8S ribosomal RNA", at positions 35 to 154 of the family's 154-position model. The record is from RNAcentral.